This 253-nucleotide ribosomal RNA is filed under the name uncultured bacterium. RNAcentral describes it as "partial 16S ribosomal RNA". It matches the Rfam family "Bacterial small subunit ribosomal RNA", at positions 524 to 776 of the family's 1533-position model. The record is from RNAcentral.
UACGUAGGGGGCAAGCGUUGUCCGGAAUCAUUGGGCGUAAAGAGCGUGUAGGCGGCCAGAUAAGUCCGCUGUGAAAUCUCGAGGCUCAACUUCGAGCUGUCGGUGGAAACUGUCUGGCUAGAGUCCGGAAGAGGAGAAUGGAAUUCCUGGUGUAGCGGUGAAAUGCGCAGAUAUCAGGAAGAACACCCGUGGCGAAGGCGGUUCUUUGGGACGGUACUGACGCUGAGACGCGAAAGCGUGGGGAGCGAACAGG